Long non-coding RNA from Diachasma alloeum, 615 nucleotides. RefSeq lists it as uncharacterized. The transcript has 3 exons. NCBI's taxonomy places the organism in Eukaryota, Metazoa, Arthropoda, Insecta, Hymenoptera, Braconidae. The record is from RefSeq and is a predicted model, not a curated record.
UUAUGACCCUGUUUAUUUACCUUCCAUAUUUCUCACUCCCAAUUGUCAUAAUGAGGAAAAAGAAGCGAAAAUCGGGAUGGAAUACGAGAUAUUUAUAAUACAAACUCGUCGAAAUUAAUUAAAAAAAUGUUCGUUAUAAGAUGGAGUAGUAUAAAAAGGUCAUGUGCGAGCCCGUUCACAUCAAUCUAACUUUGUCUUUUGGAAAUUUUCCAAGAUGCGUGCUCUUUUCAUCCUCGCUGUCCUCCUUGUGUUAGCCUACACCACCUCCGCGCAACCUGGAAGGCCCCCACGUUGCGCUGUCGGAUCAUCGUGGAGGACAUGUGGCCGUGCCUGCCCACGGACUUGUGCUAAUCGUAGACCAAUUUGUCCCGGAGCGCGCUGCCGAGCCGGAUGUUUCUGCAAUCGUGGCUGGAUUCGACGAAGCCGCAACGGUUCAUGUAUAAUAGACAACACGUGUCCUCGCACUAGACCGUGAUCUGUGUCAGGUUUUUGACUAUUUUAGGUAGUCGACCAAGACGAUGAAUGUAUGAAUGUAUCAGUGGAACUUGUAAACAAAAAUAUGAAACAUAUGUUCGAAAAAUUAAGCAUUGGAAUAAAUGAGUCCUUGCAUCAAUA